GUGAGUAACACGUGAGUAACCUGCCCUUGACUCUGGGAUAAGCCUGGGAAACUGGGUCUAAUACCGGAUACGACCAUUGCCCGCAUGGGUUGGUGGUGGAAAGCUUUUGUGGUUUUGGAUGGACUCGCGGCCUAUCAGCUUGUUGGUGAGGUAAUGGCUCACCAAGGCGACGACGGGUAGCCGGCCUGAGAGGGUGACCGGCCACACUGGGACUGAGACACGGCCCAGACUCCUACGGGAGGCAGCAGUGGGGAAUAUUGCACAAUGGGCGAAAGCCUGAUGCAGCGACGCCGCGUGAGGGAUGACGGCCUUCGGGUUGUAAACCUCUUUCAGUAGGGAAGAAGCGAAAGUGACGGUACCUGCAGAAGAAGCGCCGGCUAACUACGUGCCAGCAGCCGCGGUAAUACGUAGGGCGCAAGCGUUAUCCGGAAUUAUUGGGCGUAAAGAGCUCGUAGGCGGUUUGUCGCGUCUGCUGUGAAAGGCCAGGGCUCAACCCUGGGUUCUGCAGUGGGUACGGGCAGACUUGAGUGAUGUAGGGGAGACUGGAAUUCCUGGUGUAGCGGUGAAAUGCGCAGAUAUCAGGAGGAACACCGAUG
Molecule: ribosomal RNA, 596 nt
Filed under: Arthrobacter sp. GA20
Lineage: Bacteria; Bacillati; Actinomycetota; Actinomycetes; Micrococcales; Micrococcaceae
Description: bacterial SSU rRNA
Rfam family: Bacterial small subunit ribosomal RNA
Source: RNAcentral